Molecule: ribosomal RNA, 235 nt
Filed under: uncultured bacterium
Lineage: Bacteria
Description: partial 16S ribosomal RNA
Rfam family: Bacterial small subunit ribosomal RNA
Source: RNAcentral
CGGCGGACGGGUGAGUAACGCGUAGGAAUCUGCCCAGUAGAGGGGGAUAGCCCGAGGAAACUCGGAUUAAUACCGCAUAAGCCCUACGGGGGAAAGGCCGGGAUCUUCGGACCGGUCACUAUUGGAUGAGCCUGCGUGAGAUUAGCUUGUUGGUGGGGUAAAAGCCCACCAAGGCGACGAUCUCUAGCUGGUCUGAGAGGAUGAUCAGCCACACUGGGACUGAGACACGGCCCAG